Bombina bombina (fire-bellied toad) is the source of this 134-nucleotide small nucleolar RNA. The record is from RefSeq and is a predicted model, not a curated record. NCBI's taxonomy places the organism in Eukaryota, Metazoa, Chordata, Amphibia, Anura, Bombinatoridae.
GUGCACAUCUCAUUAACUUGCUCUCACAUGUUUUGCUGAGCAGUGUUUUCCUGAUGUGCUAGAUGAAAUUGAAGGCUAAUUAGCAGUGUAACUUUAUAUACAUAGUUUCUGCUGCCAGUCUCCUUCAGACAUAU